GAUGAACGCUGGCGGCGUGCCUAAUACAUGCAAGUCGAGCGAACAGAUGAGUAGCUUGCUCCUCUGACGUUAGCGGCGGACGGGUGAGUAACACGUGGAUAACCUACCUAUAAGACUGGGAUAACUUCGUGAAACCGGAGCUAAUACCGGAUAAUAUAUUGAACCGCAUGGUUCAAUAGUGAAAGACGGUUUUGCUGUCACUUAUAGAUGGAUCCGCGCCGCAUUAGCUAGUUGGUAAGGUAACGGCUUACCAAGGCAACGAUGCGUAGCCGACCUGAGAGGGUGAUCGGCCACACUGGAACUGAGACACGGUCCAGACUCCUACGGGAGGCAGCAGUAGGGAAUCUUCCGCAAUGGGCGAAAGCCUGACGGAGCAACGCCGCGUGAGUGAUGAAGGUCUUCGGAUCGUAAAACUCUGUUAUUAGGGAAGAACAAAUGUGUAAGUAACUAUGCACGUCUUGACGGUACCUAAUCAGAAAGCCACGGCUAACUACGUG
RNAcentral lists this ribosomal RNA (497 nucleotides) under uncultured bacterium. RNAcentral describes it as "partial 16S ribosomal RNA". It matches the Rfam family "Bacterial small subunit ribosomal RNA", at positions 28 to 507 of the family's 1533-position model. The record is from RNAcentral.